UCCAUGUUGUUUGCGACAAUUCUCCAGUCCAUGGUGCCAAUCCUUGUGAACUGCCAAGUUUCAGUACCAGUGCAAAAGAAGAGUAACUAUUCAAAUCAACCUAGUGCAAGCUGCUACCUGGCACUUGCAGCUGCCAUUCAAAAAAAUGUGUGUGACAAGAUGGUUUUAUAAGAACUUAUGCAAUUUCCCUAUGAAAGCUCUAAUGCAAACACAUUAAUUACACAUAUCUCAUACAAUCAUGGUUGCCAUCUUGAAAACAAGAUCUCGCACAUGGACUGACAUAUUUUAAACACAGUAUUACAAUCUCCAUCACAACAGUUCAGAGAUGAAUGUAGGCAUAGAAAAGUAACUGAAAAUUUCUAAAACUCAUAUCUGACGAAACUCGAUAGUCAAAACUUUUCACCAACAGAAUAUAUACAUGGAUCAGUGUGCAACGCAUGUAAUAAUUAAACACAAGGCAAAAGGACUAUAUAACAGAAAACCUGGCGCAUUUCAUUCUGCUACUGCUACUGAAUAUCAAGGUGUUUUCAGAUAUCAAGGUAGGCCUCUGCUAUUUCUAGGGCGUUCACAUCCCCUAGCGCAUUUCUACUGCUACUGCUACUGUAUAUCUGAAAACUUUUCACCAACAGAAUAUAUACAUGUUCUCACUACUGCUACUGAAUAUCAAGGCAUUUUUCAUACUGCAUUUUUCCAGGCUUCAGCUUACAUUCUUUUUCCUAAUACAUUUUCAGAUUAGGCUCACCCAUUACCAUACAACUUUUAGAACGAAUAAAUCAUAUAUUACACAUAAACUGCUGAGAGAAAAAUAGAAUAAGGGAAAGAACCUUGAACCACCGACACACACAACUUCCAACAUAGAACCUCUGGUGAAGUUGCAACAUUUGCAUCUCUUCAAGCGGCAGUCCCCCAUGCUAAGUCUCUGCUUCUAAGCUAAUCAGUAAAACAACACCAACAAUCAAUUAUUCGGUUUAUUAAAUCUACAUGCUAUUUGAGCCAUUGUAAUCUUUACUCACAUGCAUUUGUUAGAAAAUUAGGGGCAUCCUGAAGCAAACAAACAAAUUAAGAGAAGACCAAAACAAAGGAGAAACACGGUUAACAACGGCCUGAAGUUCUAUUUUUGUCAUACCGUAAUACAUAAGAAUAUGUGACUAAAACAUUUCUAAACAGAGGACCGACAGACAUGGCAUAUUUAAUACCAUGGAGGCUUAAAUUGUGUGUGACCUAUGUGGUUGUGAAUUUCGUCAAAUUCCAAUGAAAGGGCUUCGGAGACUACCUUGUAAGUUCUUCUACAGCAUAAAUCUCUUUGCAUCAUUCGAUUCUUACUUUGCAAACAGCAGUAGCCAUUAUAUGAGGGCUAUAGUAUGUUUGAUUGACACAUCAUGUGCACCAAUGUGUAAACCUGAGUUCAACACCUGCCAUCACAUUCAGUUAUUCACUUUCUCUUCUUAGAAGCCCCAAACUGAUUAAAAACAGGAAAAAUGAUAAUACAUCAGGAAAUAUAAAAUGCAUAGCAACAACAAGCAGGAGCACAUUUAGGCUGCAGUACAGCCUAAAAAUUGCCGACCAAAUUUAAGCACGGUAAAAUAGUUAUAAGCAGAUCCAUGACAUAUAUAUUCUUAC
Molecule: long non-coding RNA, 1620 nt
Filed under: Triticum aestivum (bread wheat)
Lineage: Eukaryota; Viridiplantae; Streptophyta; Magnoliopsida; Poales; Poaceae
Description: long non-coding RNA (TAES_LNC025427)
Source: RNAcentral